Molecule: non-coding RNA, 200 nt
Organism: Zea mays
Lineage: Eukaryota; Viridiplantae; Streptophyta; Magnoliopsida; Poales; Poaceae
Source: Rfam
UAGUUUUGUCCUAUGUCAAACUUCUCUAGUUUUGAUCAAGCUUUUAGAAAAAUACAUUAGUAUCUAGAAGUUCAAUCAAAUUCACUAUCAAGACAUAUUUCAUGAAGAAAUUAAUGAAAAGAAUUUGGUAUUCUAGAUGUUGAUGCAUUUUUCUAUAAACUCGGUCAAAGUUAAACAAGCUUGACUUAGGACAAAGGCAC